CUGGAAACAGCUCUUUUUCUUGGCCGGCAUCUUGGACAUGGUUCCUUCGCGAGAGAGACGCGAGUGAGAAGUCAGGGGGUUCCGCCCACCUGCCCUCGCUGGAGUCGACGAAAAACUAGGUAUCAUCCAGUGGGAAAAGUUAGCAGCAUUCUGAGCAGGAAGCCAGCGCCAAACCUGCCUGGAUGUGAAGUACGGUUGGCAGAAGAAAGCCCAGAUGAACCAACAUCUCCUGAAUGCUCCUAUUCAGCUGGUACAAAGCUAGUUUACUCCCCAUAGUGUACCGUGGAUAGUGUGCAUGCAUGAACGAACAAGCUAGCAAUCUUAGACUGCCAGAACUACUCUGUAGUAAAAAGCAUUGUAGGCUUCCCUAGCAAUGUACACUAUAUGCUUAAAAAAAUUCAUGCACUUAUUCCAGAUACUCUCAAAUCAGAACAAGAAGCAUGCCUCUGGCCUGAUAUUAGAUAUCCACUGACCACUAUCUUCUUGAUCAGCUUGGAAUAUAACAGCAGCUGGAGCUGCUUUGGAACUCAUGCUCCUAAAACAUGAUAUUCCCAAGGCCAAAAAGAUAAUGUUCUUCACACAAGAAACCUGCCAUUCUUUCUCAGGAAAGCAAGAAAUAGAAAAUAAGGAAGGAAGGAAGGAAGGAAGGAAGGAAGGAAGGAAGGAAGGAAGGAAGGAAGGAAGGAAGGAAGGAAGGAAGGAAGGAAGGAAGGAAGGCAAGCCACAUGUAUAGGUGAGUAUACAUUCAAUCAAUCAGUUGUUUAUUCCAUUGGUAUCCGGCUGCAAUCUACUCUUGGCAAAUUACAUGAUCUGGAAGAAUUUAAAACAUAAAAGAAACACAACCAGAAAAGAGAAAAACAGUUAAAAAUAAACGCAAACAUUCAAAUGUGCAAUAAAAGCAAAGAAUAAAAAGAUAAAAGAUUAGAAUGCCGUCUGGAAGAGUUUGGUCUUUGGGAUCCUCCAGAAUCCUGUCAGGGAAGAGGCCAGUCUGAUGUCUACCAGGGAGACAUUCCAGAACCAAAGGUGAGGCCUCUUAAAAGCCAUAAGUUUGAAAGGUGAAUCUGAUAAAGUCAGCUGUGUUCUGAAAAGGUGUUACAGACACCUGCUGAUUUUUUUCUACCAUAAAUGAACAGUCUCCUAUAAUAUCAUGUAGGAGAAAGGCAUUAAAAGUAUCUGGUUAUAAUUACAAUAUAGUACCUACCUUUAAGAUCAGAGUCAGUAUAUCAGUGAAAUAUAACUUAGGGCAAAUCCAAUACUUCCAGCUUUCUGCAUCUGAGCCACCCACUAUCUCUGGAAGGCAAGGAUUCAUGAUACUGUUUUCCACCCAUCCUCAGCCUUUGAAAAGCUGAUUUAUGUUGUUUUGGUUUUUAACAAGGUCAUUGAUGCUGCAAGGAAAGACCUCUCCUUCUUUUGGGAAGUUCACUGAUAGAACAGCACAAUAAUGGGCCUUUGGGAAGGGAAUUCUUUUUAAAACCAGAUGAAACUGACCAAGAAUUCUGUCAGUUUCCUCUUUCUGCCCCAAUGACAGAAACAAAAAGCGGUAAAGGUAGUGUUUAGGGUUUUUAUAUUUAAUGAGUCAAGAGGUGUGAAGGAAUGCAGUGAAGAGAUAGAUUCCAGGAAGGAGGGGCAGCAUUCCAGAGGAAUAAGAGGCAAUCCAGCCUAUGUAUUAUGUGAGAGAGAAAGAGAGUGAAGACAGCCCCUCCCUAACAGUUCACAGAAUAUAUUAUAGAUGCAGAUGAUAGAGUGCUCAGUCUGGCAAGAAUUUGUCUAUAGGUGUGAAACAAUAAAUGACUCAGUUUGGAAGAAUUAUCAUUGUGUUAUUCUUGGUUUGGGGCCUGACAGGAGGGGUAAAUAAAUGGGAAUCCAUAACUCAGAGGUUGGGAUAAAAAUGACUCAGACACAGCAUCAGGUCAUCACUGUUGCCAAAGCAAAGGAAGGGUUUGAAAUCCAAUAAAGGGUUUUUUUAAAGCCAGCUUCGUUUCCAGAUGGUUCUUGCAUAGCGAAGAAGCAGCUGAAGAUGUGGACCGGCAGGGAAGCCCUAACAGUUGCUGGGAAUCUCAGCAGGAAGGGCUAGUAAUCUUGCUUGUGAAUUUUCCCUAGGAAUUUGGGUAAUCUGAUGAAUUAAAGUUUCGAGGGCCAAACAUCUUUGCCCAGACUGACAUCAUUGUUAUACUAGCUAUUCCUGACCAGAAAUAUGUGUGUGUGUCUACAAAUAUGCUCAUGCAAGCUUUGGAGAUCUUUAACCAGAACAUAUGCUACUCUGUGUGUCUGAUAAGAAUCGCUUCUGCAUGUCUGGAGGCCCUCCAUCAUUCAACCAGGUCAAAACCUAAUAAGGUCAUGGCUGUGAGAUCAGCUACAUUCCUUUCUCACUUCCUCUCACUUCUUCUCAUUUAAUGAAGAGUUUUUGACUCUCAAAAACUGCAGUGAUUUCAUAGACAUUCACUUGUCUUAAUAAAAGUAUG
Long non-coding RNA from Crotalus tigris (Tiger rattlesnake), 2462 nucleotides. RefSeq lists it as uncharacterized. The record is from RefSeq and is a predicted model, not a curated record. The transcript has 4 exons. NCBI's taxonomy places the organism in Eukaryota, Metazoa, Chordata, Lepidosauria, Squamata, Viperidae.